UAAGCGGAGGAAAAGAAACUAACAAGGAUUCCCCUAGUAACGGCGAGCGAACAGGGAAGAGCUCAAAUUUGAAAUCUGGCGUCCUCCGGGCGUCCGAGUUGUAAUCUAUAGAGACGUUUUCCGUGCCGGACCGUGUCCAAGUUCCUUGGAACAGGAUAUCAAAGAGGGUGACAAUCCCGUACUUGACACGACGACCGGUGCUCUGUGAUACGUUUUCUACGAGUCGAGUUGUUUGGGAAUGCAGCUCAAAAUGGGUGGUGAGUUCCAUCUAAAGCUAAAUAUUGGCGAGAGACCGAUAGCGAACAAGUACCGUGAGGGAAAGAUGAAAAGCACUUUGGAAAGAGAGUUAAACAGUACGUGAAAUUGUUAAAAGGGAAACGAUUGAAGUCAGUCGUGUCUGGGAGGCUCAGCCGGUUCUGCCGGUGUAUUCCUCUCAGACGGGUCAACAUCAGUUUUGUCCGACGGAUAAUGGCGGCGGGAAAGUAGCACCUCCGGGUGUGUUAUAGCCCGCUGUCGCAUACGCCGGAUGAGAUUGAGGCAUGCAGAUCGCCUUUAUGGCAGGGGUUCGCCCACUUUCGAGCUUAGGAUGUUGACGUAAUGGCUUUAAACGACCCGU
Molecule: ribosomal RNA, 616 nt
Filed under: Bullera alba
Lineage: Eukaryota; Fungi; Basidiomycota; Tremellomycetes; Tremellales; Bulleraceae
Description: eukaryotic LSU rRNA
Rfam family: Eukaryotic large subunit ribosomal RNA
Source: RNAcentral